CCUACGGGGGGCAGCAGUGGGGAAUAUUGCACAAUGGGGGAAACCCUGAUGCAGCGACGCCGCGUGAGCGAUGAAGUAUUUCGGUAUGUAAAGCUCUAUCAGCAGGGAAGAAAAUGACGGUACCUGACUAAGAAGCCCCGGCUAACUACGUGCCAGCAGCCGCGGUAAUACGUAGGGGGCAAGGGUUUUCCGGAUUUACUGGGGGUAAAGGGAGCCUAGACGGGUGUGCCAGGCAGAGGGGAAAGCCCGGGGCUCAACCCCGGGAAUGCCUUUGAAACUGUGUGGCUGGAGUGGCGGAGAGGCACGCGGAAUUCCCAGUGUAGCGGUGAAAUGCGUAGAUAUCAGGAGGAACCCCAGUGGCGAAGGCGGCCUGCUGGCUGAUGACUGACGUUGAGGCUCGAAAGCGUGGGGAGCAAACAGGAUUAGAUACCCGGGUAGUC
RNAcentral lists this ribosomal RNA (440 nucleotides) under uncultured bacterium. RNAcentral's name for it is "partial 16S ribosomal RNA". It matches the Rfam family "Bacterial small subunit ribosomal RNA", at positions 338 to 795 of the family's 1533-position model. The record is from RNAcentral.